RNAcentral lists this transfer RNA (68 nucleotides) under Syrmaticus humiae (Hume's pheasant). Its description in RNAcentral is "tRNA-Leu". The stretch from base 7 to 67 matches the Rfam family "tRNA", at positions 7 to 64 of the family's 71-position model. From Rfam's summary of the family: Transfer RNA (tRNA) molecules are approximately 80 nucleotides in length. The record is from RNAcentral. Lineage: Eukaryota; Metazoa; Chordata; Aves; Galliformes; Phasianidae.
ACUAGCGUGGCAGAGCUCGGUAAAUGCAAAAGGCUUAAGCCCUUUACCCAGAGGUUCAAAUCCUCUCC